RNAcentral lists this ribosomal RNA (497 nucleotides) under uncultured bacterium. Its description in RNAcentral is "partial 16S ribosomal RNA". It matches the Rfam family "Bacterial small subunit ribosomal RNA", at positions 28 to 507 of the family's 1533-position model. The record is from RNAcentral.
GAUGAACGCUGGCGGCGUGCCUAAUACAUGCAAGUCGAGCGGACGGACGAGAAGCUUGCUUCUCUGAUGUUAGCGGCGGACGGGUGAGUAACACGUGGAUAACCUACCUAUAAGACUGGGAUAACUUCGGGAAACCGGAGCUAAUACCGGAUGAUAUUUUGAACCGCAUGGUUCAAAAGUGAAAGACGGUCUUGCUGUCACUUAUAGAUGGAUCCGCGCUGCAUUAGCUAGUUGGUAAGGUAACGGCUUACCAAGGCAACGAUGCAUAGCCGACCUGAGAGGGUGAUCGGCCACACUGGAACUGAGACACGGUCCAGACUCCUACGGGAGGCAGCAGUAGGGAAUCUUCCGCAAUGGGCGAAAGCCUGACGGAGCAACGCCGCGUGAGUGAUGAAGGUCUUCGGAUCGUAAAACUCUGUUAUUAGGGAAGAACAUAUGUGUAAGUAACUGUGCGCAUCUUGACGGUACCUAAUCAGAAAGCCACGGCUAACUACGUG